GAGUCCUUAGUCAGCUAUAACAGGAAUACAAUAACUGAACAAACAAGAAGCAACCAAAUAGAGGUGAACUAAAGUGUGACAGGGCCACGACUUCUGCGAGCUCAAAUUGCCAGCCUUCCCAAUUUAUUGACAUGCUUUCAAACCUUCUCUUUAAUAUAUACACUCCAUUUCAGGCUGCUACAGCUCUUCAGGACUCAACAAGAAACCAGAAAAAACACCUUAAACUUACCUAUUUCAUGUGUAAUCCUAAGGAAAAAAUAAAAUACUCAAGGGAGUUGCUUAUGAAUGCAGCAGGUGUACAAUUCUUAAGACGAGAAGAUCAAAGAGCACUUCAACGCGAAAUAAAUUGGGACGAGCAUCAAACAGAAACUAGCAAAGACAAACCAAUUGAGGCAUUCAAUAAACCAUAGGCGAAUUGAUCAGUUCCUGCAAACUAAUGUAUAAUCUGAACGCCUCAUCUUUCCCAAUGCUCAUGCUCAAACAUUUCAACCAAUGAGCAAAUCACCAAGUGACAGAAGCAGAAUUACCCAGCUUAGAAAUAAUUUCACCAUGAGUUUGUACAUUAUUUUGGAGUCACAGUGUCAUGGCUAUUGGUAUAACAUGAUUUUAACAGAUUAUUUGCUAUUUGCAAAAGCAAAACUAUUCAGCUAGAGUUUUUUUUUUAAAAAAAAUCUCUGGACAUAUCAAGUUAGUCAUGGAUAUUCCAGAACUUCUCAUCUUAACACAGGCACACCUUAUCUAUUGCUCUUUGCUAACUGAAAACUAAUGAAGAUCCAGUGGUAUAAAGGUACAACUGAAGCUACCAAGCCAGGGCAUCAAAUUCCAAGUCUUAGAGACCAUUUCGGGAUCCUAAUUCACAAAACGUAACCUACAGGCAACGAGAAUCAGAGAGAUCUAACAUGGAUCAUGUUCGGACAGUGGUGUUGAGCUUUAAACCGAAGAGCACAAGACAUAGAUAGAGCUAAUAUCAUUUCAAAUCAUGAAGACCUCACUUAAUCUAACAAUAUAUCAUCACACAAUUGCGCUGGAUAAAACAAUCAAGCGUCAUAGAGUGAAAAAUAGAAACAUACAAGUUUUUCACAUAGCAAAGUCACUCCGGAUUUUUGAAUUUUACGCUAGUGACAAAGAAUCAUCAGAAUGCCAACUCUAAUAUAAAAGAUAUGAGAACGAGAUGAACCUGUUAAAAUUUCCAGUUGAUCUUUCAGCAAAUUACAACAAUCAAAAUAAAAUGAAUCGGAUGAAUCCACAACAAAGAACUCAACCAAGACCUCAAACCAGAAACGGAAAACAUCAGCUUUCGAACUCGAACAACAACUUCAACAGCGACGAGCUCGUUUAAAUCAACUGCUUUAAACAAGAACCAGAGAAGAAAAACGGAAUCCCUUUUUUGAAAUUUUCUAAUUUCUGAAGCAAACUAUGAACAAACGAAAAACUCAAAAAAAAUUGCAUUUUUUAAUAGAGAAGAAAACGGAAUAACAAAUCCAAAAAAAAAACCUCAGUCUUUAUCUCUGUUAUCAUUUAAGAAAUCGAAGAGCGAUAAAGAAGAUCUAUCUCUCAAAUCCUUUACCAAGUAUGAAACCUCUGAAUAGUCCCCAAGACAUUCUCUCCAAAACCAAAAAAAAUCCCCCCACCCUUACCCGAAAAGGGUCCCUUAUAUAUCCAAACUCUGGAUUCUUUCUUCCUCUUAAAGAAAGCGGAUAAGGCUCUCUUGAAAAUGAGCACGUGGUGAAUGUGAGGCUCAGAUUGAAUGAGAUUGAUCCGACGCCUCUCACUCAUCCAACACCCUUCUUCUAGAGCCUUCUAAUCCACGUGAGAUAGCUUGAAAACGGGCGAGUGAGGGAGAGAAUCUUGUUGUUGUCAGAGCCCGUUACUCCUAUGUGGCAAGAGGAGGGAGGGGGAAGGCGCGUGGGGUGAGUUAGGGUGAAUUUGUGCGAUUUUGGUGAAGGGGAAGAUGAGCAGUAACCUGU
This 1967-nucleotide long non-coding RNA is filed under the name Nicotiana tabacum (common tobacco). Its description in RNAcentral is "long non-coding RNA (NTAB_LNC004525)". Lineage: Eukaryota; Viridiplantae; Streptophyta; Magnoliopsida; Solanales; Solanaceae. The record is from RNAcentral.